CAGCAUGAAAACAGACUGGAUAGAAGCU
RNAcentral lists this non-coding RNA (28 nucleotides) under Cricetulus griseus (Chinese hamster). Lineage: Eukaryota; Metazoa; Chordata; Mammalia; Rodentia; Cricetidae. The record is from RNAcentral.